AACGGGGGGAGCGAGUGUUACUCAUCAUUACUGGGCGUAAAGGGUGUGUAGGUGGUUUUGUAAGUUUAAAGUAAAAAAUCUAAGCGUAACUUAGAAAUUAUUUUUCAUACUGCAAGGCUAGAGGGCAGAAGAAGUUUGUCGAAUUUUUAGUGAAAAAGUGAAAUUUGAAGAUACUAAGAGGACGUUCAUUUGGCGAAAGCAACAAACUAUCAUGCUACUGACACUGAGGCACAAAAGCAUGGGUAUCAAACAGG
RNAcentral lists this ribosomal RNA (254 nucleotides) under uncultured bacterium. RNAcentral describes it as "partial 16S ribosomal RNA". It matches the Rfam family "Bacterial small subunit ribosomal RNA", at positions 524 to 776 of the family's 1533-position model. RNAcentral also lists the same sequence under 1 other name. The record is from RNAcentral.